CCUUCGAUAGCUCAGUUGGUAGAGCGGUGGACUGUAGAAGUUGAGAUGAUUAUCCAUAGGUCGCUGGUUCGAAUCCGGUUCGAAGGA
Non-coding RNA from Ciona savignyi (Pacific transparent sea squirt), 87 nucleotides. The record is from Rfam. Lineage: Eukaryota; Metazoa; Chordata; Ascidiacea; Phlebobranchia; Cionidae.